UUGGGGAUAUUGCACAAUGGGGGAAACCCUGAUGCAGCGACGCCGCGUGAGGGAAGAAGGUUUUCGGAUUGUAAACCUCUGUCCUCAGGGAAGAUAAUGACGGUACCUGAGGAGGAAGCCACGGCUAACUACGUGCCAGCAGCCGCGGUAAUACGUAGGUGGCAAGCGUUGUCCGGAAUUACUGGGUGUAAAGGGAGCGUAGGCGGUAUUGCAAGUUGAAUGUGAAAUCUAUCGGCUCAACUGAUAGGCUGCGUUCAAAACUGUAGUACUUGAGUGAAGUAGAGGCAGGCGGAAUUCCCGGUGUAGCGGUGGAAUGCGUAGAUAUCGGGAGGAACACCAGUGGCGAAGGCGGCCUGCUGGGCUUUAACUGACGCUGAGGCUCGAAAGCAUGGGGAGCAAACAGGAUUAGAUACC
RNAcentral lists this ribosomal RNA (414 nucleotides) under uncultured bacterium. RNAcentral describes it as "bacterial SSU rRNA". It matches the Rfam family "Bacterial small subunit ribosomal RNA", at positions 355 to 786 of the family's 1533-position model. The record is from RNAcentral.